Paramuricea clavata is the source of this 219-nucleotide non-coding RNA. The record is from the annotation of a GenBank genome assembly. NCBI's taxonomy places the organism in Eukaryota, Metazoa, Cnidaria, Anthozoa, Malacalcyonacea, Plexauridae.
UUUUUUUUAGCUUAGUCACUGUGUACGAGCAGGCAAAUGUAAGUGCGUGACGUACGUAACAUAACGUAAAGGAAGGGAAUGGUUACCGCUAGAAGAUUGUAAAAAUUUUCCCAAGAAACGACACUGCAAGUUAAAAGUCCCUUUUUGAACAGUAUAUUAGGGAGAGCACAACUCUAAGGCACAUUCAAUAAGGCCUCAGAGCCCGGCUUACAUUAUUGA